CAUUUAUACACGUGCUCACUGCUCAAUCAACGACCUCAUCGCCUACCCAUGCACGCACACGCAUGUAGAGAGGACGUCUACUUGAAGUAGUAUGGGAGGUCGAGCACGUAGAGGAGGAAGUAGGCCCAGACCACGCCGGAGAUGCCGCCGAAGAAGAAGCCUCCGGUGAACUUGGCCCAGCCGUCGGCGGUCUGCAGCUUGUCGGCCUCCUUCUUGCGGCCGGUGAGCGUGAGCGUGGGCGCCGUGGACGGGUCGCCCUCGUUGAAGGAGGCGACGCCGUACAUGGUGAGGCAGACGCUGAGGAUGGUGACGAGCCCGGCGGCGCCCAGGGCGCCCGCCUGGCCGUGCACGGGCGUGUUGCGGAGCGGGCCGGUGAGGGCGAAGGGGCCCACGAGGAGGUAGCCGUGCGCAAGCCCGACCUCGAUGCCGCGGAGCAGCGGGCUCACGGCGGUGCGGUAGGCCGGGAGGUUGGAGAGGUACCAGGCGAUGAGCGGGCUGGAGGUGAUGGGCGUCUCCAGGCUGCCGAUGAAGGGGUCGCCGUUGAUGGGCUGCACCACCUGGUACGUUGUCUGCUCAAGAACAACAGACAGUUUCUAUCAUCAGAGCCAAAGAAUUUUGUUUGAUCAUACAAAGAUAUAUAAUUGAAUUGCUAAUGUUCAGAGCAUCAAAUUGUAUAUCCAAUUUCCAGUCCUGUGAGAUAGAUCAAAAUGAAUCACACAAGAUGACUGAACUGAAAUCAAGAUUCUAGCAGCAGCACACAUGCAAAGAACUGAUCGAUUUGGAAGCAUUUUGAAUGAAAUUGAUAAUUCAUGUUGCCUAUAGCCAAGAGCCAAAUCGAUCAAAACUAUAAAAAAGAUGCAUCACUAUUUCGUUGCUCAGUAGAUCCACUGACCUUCUCAGGCUGGAUGGCCUUCACGGUGAAGCGGGGCCGCCUGGUCAGCGCAGCGCCUGAAAGGCCCCUGGGCCUCGAGUGCACCAAGCCGCUCUUCAUCACCUGGCUCGCCAUGGGAGCGUACGCGGUAGCCAUCUCGACCUCUGCCUGUCUCUCACGAACAGGGCUCUUCCUUCCUGCAAAAUGGUAGAAGAGGUCUCCUUGUAUCGGCCCAAUUAAAGUUUGU
This 1118-nucleotide long non-coding RNA is filed under the name Setaria viridis. Its description in RNAcentral is "long non-coding RNA (SVIR_LNC003370)". The record is from RNAcentral. Lineage: Eukaryota; Viridiplantae; Streptophyta; Magnoliopsida; Poales; Poaceae.